Rosa rugosa (rugosa rose) is the source of this 1578-nucleotide long non-coding RNA. RefSeq lists it as uncharacterized. The transcript is spliced from 2 exons. The record is from RefSeq and is a predicted model, not a curated record. NCBI's taxonomy places the organism in Eukaryota, Viridiplantae, Streptophyta, Magnoliopsida, Rosales, Rosaceae.
GGAACGCUUGCUUUGCGAAAUCCUGAAACACCCUCAAUGAAAAUAAAGAUCGAGUCAACCAUAUCUAAUUGUGAUGGAGCGCUUGCUCGAUUCCUCCUCUAAUUUACAUUCGUUCUCUUCAUCAAUUUCUGGUCCUCCACGGCUCCACCAUAUCCUUGUUUCGUAACCUUGCUAUUGGUACAACCGUACAAGUCCAAGUUGAUGAAUUCAAUUAAUUAAGGCAUAUCAUAUAUACAGGUUGGUGAUCUCAAGUAUUGAUUAUGGUUCAGGAAUACACUAUGCGUCUUGUUUCUCUCAGUGCUUAGAGUUUUGUGUUAUUUUUCCCAUAUUGUGUUGAUUUAUUCAGUUACCAAAAUUGUUAACCCGUUCUAAAAGGAUUUUGAUAUGAAGCUUGAAUUGCAUAUAAGAUGUAAUAUAUACACUCUCGAGAUCAUAUGGUAACUGGUAAAUGGUUAUGUGCACGUGAAUUGCUCAAGAUCGAGAAUCCUGGCGAGAGUUUUCUUGUUAUGAUUUAUAUGAAGUACAUGAAACAAAGAAGCUAGAGGGUCUCGUCUCCAAUCAUGAUUUUCACAUGAGAGAUUCCUCGAGGGAAAUCUGGAUUUUUUUAAUUCACGGACAUCCUCGUCCAAGAGGUUAAUCAUCUUUGCUGGAAAGAAUCAGAGAGGAGUGAAAAACAAUUUUAAAAGAAGAUCUGGGAUAAAUCUGGGAUUUUGAUGUUGUAGAGGUUGUUCCUUUCUCUCUUUAAUUACCUAUUUUGAUUAAUUUAGGAUUUUGAUGUUUUGUGAGAUGUGGGAAUUAGGAAGAGAGAGACCAGAAGGAAAGAGGGAGAAGAAGAGAGAGUUUUGCUUUGGUCGAUCUAGGUAGGAAGAAGAGAGAGACAAAGACAUAGAAACAAUAAAAAAAGAAAAGACAGAUGACCACAAGUCUGUCAAAUUUGACAGUUUGGUUUCAAUAUGUCAUCCACCGUACGUGGCAAUGACAUAUGGGUUGGAGUGUAUUUUCAUAGGUCAUUUAUAGAUGUUGGGCUGCCAUGUGGAUUUUGACAUAUCCACUGGAGAUGGUCUUACACAUUCAAAAAUGGGUAAAGGUUUUCAGAUUUGAGGUUGUUUGUUGAAGCAAAGAAGUCACCCCAAGUUUCACGUAAAGGAUGGUGGUUGGUCAUCUUAUUUUUGAAUGAGAGGAUCAUCCGCAUAGUGAUAAGGGGAAUGAUUCAAAUCUGAAUUAAACCAAUCCUUACAACGAUCUGAUCAUUAAGCCUACAAAAGGAGGCUUGCAACGAAAAGGCAGAGGAGGAGACGAACAAAGCAAAGAAAUACAGAGAGCGAAGACGCACAGAGCAGAGAAAUACAAAAGAAAUACAGAGAGCGAAGAGGGUAUGCGGCAAAGAAACAACGAGAAGAAAGUUCCAGGUCUCGUUACCGAAGAAAGAAGAAGAAGAACUGCAGGUAUACGACUGCAUCCAUGGUUAUUUUGUUUAUGUGAAAUUCCCAGAUGAUGCUCACGAUAAGGAAAAGAAACUUGCCUCCUGCAAUGCAAGUUCCUUCAAUUAAUCCAGAAGAGAAUGGUUACCUUGCUGUA